GGAGUGGCAGACGGGUGAGUAACGCGUGGGAAUCUACCCAACCCUGCGGAAUAGCUCUGGGAAACUGGAAUUAAUACCGCAUACGCCCUACGGGGGAAAGAUUUAUCGGGGAUGGAUGAGCCCGCGUUGGAUUAGCUAGUUGGUGGGGUAAAGGCCUACCAAGGCGACGAUCCAUAGCUGGUCUGAGAGGAUGAUCAGCCACAUUGGGACUGAGACACGGCCCAAACUCCUACGGGAGGCAGCAGUGGGGAAUAUUGGACAAUGGGCGCAAGCCUGAUCCAGCCAUGCCGCGUGAGUGAUGAAGGCCUUAGGGUUGUAAAGCUCUUUCACCGGUGAAGAUAAUGACGGUAACCGGAGAAGAAGCCCCGGCUAACUUCGUGCCAGCAGCCGCGGUAAUACGAAGGGGGCUAGCGUUGUUCGGAAUUACUGGGCGUAAAGCGCACGUAGGCGGAUAUUUAAGUCAGGGGUGAAAUCCCAGAGCUCAACUCUGGAACUGCCUUUGAUACUGGGUAUCUUGAGUAUGGAA
Molecule: ribosomal RNA, 526 nt
Filed under: uncultured Agrobacterium sp.
Lineage: Bacteria; Pseudomonadati; Pseudomonadota; Alphaproteobacteria; Hyphomicrobiales; Rhizobiaceae
Description: bacterial SSU rRNA
Rfam family: Bacterial small subunit ribosomal RNA
Source: RNAcentral